CUCAAACGCUUCUCUCUCUCUAAAAUCUCUCCUCCCUCUCUCUAAAAUCCCUUCUCUGCUAAAAUUUUACCCAGCUCUAAAUCUCUCAAAUGAAGAUGUGAAUCUCAUCUAUCAGGUUUGUGGCCAAAUCCCUAAUUUUCCCUUUUUCUUUUAGGAAAAAAACUGAUGUUCAUAAUAGAGUUUUGUGGAGAAAGAAUCACACAUCUGAUUUCUCUCCCUAAUCUCAUAUAGCCGCUGGUGACCUAAUGCUUUCCCUAAUCUCUGCAACUUUUCAGAGUUUUGUGCAUAUGUUUAACUGAAAACCCAUAUCAAUUUAUAUAUAAAUUUAUGUUUGGAGUAUUUUUAAUAAAGGAUUCUGUAUUCUGUAAGGUAAAAUUUUCAAUAUGCAGUUAGGGAUUAUUAUUAUUUCAGUGAUUUUACAUUUGUAUUCUCAGAUUUCAUCUCGAAUUUCUCUGAACCAUUUGAUAUUCUACAGGAAUACAAAAAAAUCAUACAUAAAGACUCAUUUGAAGCCUAUUUGGUGUUGUUAUUGUUGAUUUUUAGUCUUGACAGGACUCUCACCUAUCUCUUUUUUGGGUAAGUUAAUAGCUUCUUCUUGAGAGACCUAUUGCAUGUUGGUAUUCCAUGCUUAUUUUUUCCUUUUAUGACUAUGUGCCUAAAUCAGUAGAUACAUACUUUUAACUUUUAUAAGACAUAUAUAUGUUACUAUAAGGUUAUAAGAAAACAUAAUACUUCUUUGGUAAAUGCAUGCAUUUGGCCACUUAAAAAAUAAUUUGAAUGUAAUAUGCUUUCUUGUCAUCUGGAAAAGGAGUUUAGAUGGACUAUCAACUCCCAAUCACACCCUAAAAUCUAAAUGCCUUCUGUUUUUAUUUAGCUGGGAAAAUAUUUCCCCUAUAGAAUGCCCCGAAAUCUUUUUGAACUUUGUUAGCUCUUUGUAUCUGAGAUAGCAUAUAUGUAGUAAGC
Molecule: long non-coding RNA, 963 nt
Filed under: Nicotiana tabacum (common tobacco)
Lineage: Eukaryota; Viridiplantae; Streptophyta; Magnoliopsida; Solanales; Solanaceae
Description: long non-coding RNA (NTAB_LNC002068)
Source: RNAcentral